UCCCUGGAGGACUAGUGGUUAGGUAACAGCGCUCUCACUGCUGCAGCUCGGGUUCGAUUCCCGGCCAGAGAA
This 72-nucleotide transfer RNA is filed under the name Pangasianodon hypophthalmus (striped catfish). It matches the Rfam family "tRNA". Rfam says of the family: Transfer RNA (tRNA) molecules are approximately 80 nucleotides in length. Their secondary structure includes four short double-helical elements and three loops (D, anti-codon, and T loops). The record is from Rfam by way of RNAcentral. Lineage: Eukaryota; Metazoa; Chordata; Actinopteri; Siluriformes; Pangasiidae.